This 492-nucleotide ribosomal RNA is filed under the name uncultured bacterium. RNAcentral's name for it is "partial 16S ribosomal RNA". It matches the Rfam family "Bacterial small subunit ribosomal RNA", at positions 29 to 507 of the family's 1533-position model. The record is from RNAcentral.
AGUGAACGCUGGCGGUAGGCCUAACACAUGCGAGUCGAACGGCAGCACAGUAAGAGCUUGCUCUUACGGGUGGCGAGUGGCGGACGGGUGAGGAAUACAUCGGAAUCUACUUUUUCGUGGGGGAUAACGUAGGGAAACUUACGCUAAUACCGCAUACGACCUACGGGUGAAAGCAGGGGAUCUUCGGACCUUGCGCGAUUGACUGAGCCGAUGUCGGAUUAGCUAGUUGGCGGGGUAAAGGCCCACCAAGGCGACGAUCCGUAGCUGGUCUGAGAGGAUGAUCAGCCACACUGGAACUGAGACACGGUCCAGACUCCUACGGGAGGCAGCAGUGGGGAAUAUUGGACAAUGGGCGCAAGCCUGAUCCAGCCAUACCGCGUGGGUGAAGAAGGCCUUCGGGUUGUAAAGCCCUUUUGCUGGGAAAGAAAAGCAGCAGGUUAAUACCCCGCUGUUCUGACGGUACCCAAAGAAUAAGCACCGGCUAACUUCGUG